CAUAUUGAGAACAGCAAAGACAACUGAGAGCCUCAACCAUGCUAAUAAUCUCCAGGAAAUGGAGAGGUCUAAGCUUGUGUUGUGUUUCAAAAUACCUCUGGCUCUGAUGAUUACAUGGACAAAAUUGUUUUUAUACUGUCCUGUCUCAGCAGUCAGAGGGCAUUAAACCACGUAUGGAUGUAACAGACUAGUUCUUUCAACUGUAUCAAGCUGGUACUGUGAGCAGAGCAACAAACUGAAUGAAAUCAGGAGUUAAUUUUCCCUACCAAAGGACCAGUGAUAAAUGGAAAUAAAAAUAUGGGUA
Chiroxiphia lanceolata (lance-tailed manakin) is the source of this 304-nucleotide long non-coding RNA. RefSeq lists it as uncharacterized. NCBI's taxonomy places the organism in Eukaryota, Metazoa, Chordata, Aves, Passeriformes, Pipridae. The record is from RefSeq and is a predicted model, not a curated record. The transcript is spliced from 3 exons.